GAUGAACGCUAGCUACAGGCUUAACACAUGCAAGUCGAGGGGUAACGAGAGGAAAGCUUGCUUUCCUUGUCGACGACCGGCGCACGGGUGAGUAACGCGUAUCCAACCUGCCCCCAACUAGGGAAUAACCUUGCGAAAGUAAGACUAAUACCCUAUAAUUUCCUCAGAUGACAUCUGACGAGGAAUAAAGAUUUAUCGGUUGUGGAUGGGGAUGCGUCUGAUUAGCUUGUUGGCGGGGUAACGGCCCACCAAGGCAACGAUCAGUAGGGGUUCUGAGAGGAAGGUCCCCCAAAUUGGAACUGAGACAAGGUCCAAACUCCGACGGGAGGCAGCAGUGAUGAAUAUUGGUCAAUGGGCGGGAGCCUGAACCAGCCAAGUAGCGUGCAGGAUGACGGCCCUAUGGGUUGUAAACUGCUUUUAUACAGGAAUAAAGUUAGCCACGUGUGGUUAUUUGUAGGUACUGUAUGAAUAAGGACCGGCUAAUUCCGUGCCAGCCGCCGCCGUAA
RNAcentral lists this ribosomal RNA (506 nucleotides) under uncultured bacterium. RNAcentral describes it as "partial 16S ribosomal RNA". It matches the Rfam family "Bacterial small subunit ribosomal RNA", at positions 28 to 523 of the family's 1533-position model. The record is from RNAcentral.